This 1101-nucleotide long non-coding RNA is filed under the name Callithrix jacchus (white-tufted-ear marmoset). RNAcentral describes it as "lncRNA (ENSCJAG00000083054.1)". The record is from RNAcentral. Lineage: Eukaryota; Metazoa; Chordata; Mammalia; Primates; Cebidae.
CAGCGGGCGACCCUUUCUCCCUGAGCCAGAAGACUGGCCUCGGAAUCGGCUUUCCCAGGCCGCUGCACACCAUACUCCACUUCCUGCCCGCCCCAGGCCCCAGCGCAUGGGGUCCAGGCCCAGUCACAGUCACCUUGCCUCGGGAAGCUCGAAGCUGCCCCGGAGGCCUCCUGACCUGCCCGGCCUCACCCAGGCCCCACUACUCAUUCCAGGACACAGGGUCAACCUAGCCUAUCUCCUGCAGGCGGCCACCCGGAGGGACGUCUCAUCGAAACCCUGUAUCCUGGCCAGGCCCGCCUGUCCAAAUGGGGAUUCUCGCUGGGCCACCCAUAUCCCAUAGAUAAUAUUGGAAUGCUGUCCAAGUGCCUUUACCGAAAGGCCAAGCCUGGAGCUGAGGCUCCCAAUGUCCCUUUCACCAGCGAUAGGACUGUCAGCAUCUCAGGUAGGAGCUGAACGCGUUUGCAUAGACGCGGAGUGCUGAACCUUCCUCCCUCUUGGGAUCCCGGGUACCGAAUACCCCCGUGAGCAGGAGGGCCAGAAGUCACCCGGCUCCGGGCGUACACAGCACCAGGUCAGCUCGGUGAGGUGAGGUGCUCCCGCAGGCCUGGAGAGCUCUGAAUCGGCGGGGGACCAGGACCAGAGCAGGCCGCAGGGGAGGCAGGAGAUGGUCAGCCCCAAACGCGAAGCGCAGGCCGGCCACCUAUUUUGAAGGGAUUGCUGCUGGCCGUCGGAACCAUUGGAGGCCUCUGGGGAGACAGCCCGGGCCUGACCCUUCCUCCGCCAGCUUAGCCCGGGUGCUGCAGGAGUUGCCCCGGGGACCACCCAUUCCCGGCACCAAGAGCUGGUCAGAGCUCCUUCCAGCCCAGGGAAAGAAGAGGGCCCAGAGUGUCCAGCCCAGGUGCUGCAUCUGGAACCCCAGGGGUUCUCCUGGAAAGGACGGGCUUUGGUCUCUGGCCUGCUCUGGUGGCAGGGAGGUGGAGUGGACCAUGAGGCGUGGCCCGGACCAUGCGUGUGAGUCACCAGUGCCGCCAUGCGCAGACUCUGGGGCACAGGGAAGGGGGCUCUGGUUCUUGGUCUCUUCCCUCCAGCUUGCUUGAUACU